Molecule: ribosomal RNA, 253 nt
Filed under: uncultured bacterium
Lineage: Bacteria
Description: partial 16S ribosomal RNA
Rfam family: Bacterial small subunit ribosomal RNA
Source: RNAcentral
UACAGAGGGUGCAAACGUUGUUCGGAAUUACUGGGCGUAAAGCGCGUGUAGGCUGCUUCGCAAGUCGGGUGUGAAAGCCCUGGGCUCAACCUAGGAAGUGCACUCGAAACUGCGGAGCUUGAGUCUCGGAGAGGAUCGCGGAAUUCUCGGUGUAGAGGUGAAAUUCGUAGAUAUCGAGAGGAACACCGGUGGCGAAGGCGGCGAUCUGGACGAUGACUGACGCUGAGACGCGAAAGCGUGGGGAGCAAACAGG